This is a long non-coding RNA of Orbicella faveolata, 4858 nucleotides long. The record is from RefSeq and is a predicted model, not a curated record. Lineage: Eukaryota; Metazoa; Cnidaria; Anthozoa; Scleractinia; Merulinidae.
UCGAAAUAGAAAUGUAAUAAAAAAAUCAAACAACAGGUUGUUUACACAGACUGCUUAUUUUAAUUGAUUUUGAUUGGAAAUGGAACAUUGUUACUUAAUUAAAUUGUACAUGACAUGAUGUAGUGCCAAAGAAUAACAACAGUCUGUUUCAAAAUGAAAUCAUUGAAUGCGAUUUCACCAUAUUCACCACUCAGUCCAAAAUUGACACCUAGUCACUGAAGUUGGUUAUAAUAUAUGUAUAAUAUUAGGGAUUCUGCAGUGCAUUUUAGGUCAAGGUGAACUGGUUAUGGUCGUUGCUCAAACAACUGAGUAUAACAAUUAUACAAAAAUUAUAAUACAUGAUUUUAGCAUUUAUUUUAGACAAUCAACUUGAGAAUGCCAAGACUGCCAAGAGUAUUUUGCCCGAAUUUCACUUGAGUGAGACAUGGAUAUUGGCAGAAUCUUGUUUACUUUAAGCUAUGUCAAAUAUAAACAAUUUGAUUAUAGCUUGGUGGUAUAUGGGAAAUCUAUAGAAAGAAAAGCAUUUCCUUCAGUAUUAUAAGAAUUUCAGACAGUUUUGUUUCAGUCUUGAACCCAAAGUGAAGGGGAUGUUUUUAUUUACAAUUUAUGUUUUUUUUUUACCAUAUAACUGUCCAUGAGGAGGGGGAAGGGAAGUAACGACCUUUUAUACAAGGAGGCUCUGCCCCAAGGUCAAAACCCUAUCCAUUUUACAUAGUGUUUUUGACAGGAAAGGCUUCUCUUUAAUACACAUGUAGCUUCUAGCUUGAAACCCCCUUCACAAACCUAAUGUCACCCUACUAGAUUUCUUGGAAAAAAUAAUCAAUUAAUGUUUGAAAUCCCUGUCCUGUUAAGUCUUAUAAUACCUCCAGCCUGAAAAAAGGGCACCUUUAGUCAACUAUAGCGAGAAGACCCCCAGCUUGGUGCGAUCAAUAAUAGGGGUACUACAUAUUGUAGUGUAUGCAAGUAAAAUAACUAAUUUUCUUUAUUGGAAACACAAAUCACUGUAUUUUAUUCCUAUAUAUCUCGGUAAUUGUUUGUGCUAAUCUCACUAGCAAUGCAGUAAUAUUCAGAAGGAUUGCAGAUACGUCUCUUCUAAUAGAUGUUUGCAAUGAUUACAGAACAUACUUAUGUUGACAAGUAUCAAGCAUUCUCUUCUCCAUAAUUAUGUCAAGUUUUGAUUUCAAUUUGUUUACAUCUCUCAUUUCUAGAAGUAAAAAAAAACUCUACAUCACCAGCCACCAUGCGUCCGCCUUAUGUUUGACACAAUUGGACAGCAUAUCUCUCUCGCAAAAAGUAGAUCAACACAGUCUCUUGGACUUAAUUUGUCCAUCCAUGAUCACUUAAAUAUUCAGGAGUAUAUUUACUCGAUCGUACAUGUAGGUUGACUUACAUACCAUCUCUGAAGAAAUUUUCCCUCAGGUCGAACAGCAUGGAAUACAAAAGAAAUGAAGUGUGAACGACAACAAAACUAAAAGAUAAGGCAACUCAAAUUUCUUACUUGAAGUAUUUUAAAAUAAGCUUACAAAUUUCGAACUUCCGUCGGAUACUAACACAGACAGAAUUUCAAUGUGUGUAAACAAAAUAAAACAAUAACGAAACAAUGAAACCAAAACUUAACAAGAAAUUAAGCUUACCUUGGACUCCACAAGGAGAGAAAGCCAGUGGAAACCAUCAAAUUCUCUUGCCAAGAGAAAAAGCUACGAGCUUAAUUUCCCCCAUAUGCUAAGUUAACACGAUCCCACUUUCUGGCUUUCUUGUAUCAAUUCUUUAACCUCGCCGACCGUGCUGUUGUGACCGAUACAUCACCAGAGUUAUAAAUACCUCUACCAGCUUUCAUCUACGUGUGAGCAAAAGCCGAUAAUCAAAAAACAACAUAUUUCCCAAAGAAAAACACGUGAAACGAAAAUGGCCGACUUAAAUCUUUAAUGCGCUCGACAAACUCGUACCCAGGCUUUCCAUUUUUCGGACAAAAAUUCACUCCUUUGUAGUCUUCCCUCAUCAAAAACCUUCCUGACGACUGAACACUCUUGGAAAAAAAACAAUACUUAGUGGGGGAGCUAGGAUAAAAUUGUUUAAUUCAAGUUUAAUGAAUAAAUUAAUCAGAAUCGAGGGAGUGAGUGCCAUUAGACUGCUCAUGGAUGUUACGUCAUCCAUGAGCAAAAACGUGCCAAAUCACUAAAGCCCUAAAAGAACUAUCAAAAAUUAUGCUCUCCUCACACGUAAUUAUAUGUUUCUAACUUACAUUGAAAAAGCCAAUGAUCCCAUGCGCGCAUCACUUACUUGCAAUAAUCAGCCACCCGGAUUUUGAUAUCUGGAUGUUAUGCCCUGCAAUUAUACCGCGAUGGAGCCCUUACCCUCGUUAUUUUUCUCUGUAAAAAGGAAAUGAACUACUUUUUGUCUGCUUUUUAAUAAAUAACUGUCCAUUUAAUUCUUGUAAAACUCAAGUCCACUCGAGCGUUUGCUCUUUGAGACACAAAGUAAAGAUGGUUAUGUCCCAGGUACUACUUCCCAACACAAGAGUCUACUUGUAUGCUCCAGAUUCCACUCGGUCUCCACAAUAACAAGACCCAUGUUCUUGUUAGGGGAGGGGCGGGGAAUGAGUGAGUUUUGUGUAUUGUUUGUUUCUUGAGCAACUUUGCAAAAGCAUGUAAUUCUUUCCAAAAACACAACCUCUAUAUUCAUAACCUUAUUUGUUGUAUGGUUGACGAUAAGAAAUUACAGAAGGAAGGAAAAUUCCCAACGCGACUCUCUUAGCAGCAUUUUAGCUGCUCGAGUGUAAAGGUACACCCACUUUCGAUUUCAUUUCCUUUUAUCGAACGAACAAAAGACGAAGUCACGAGAAUGACUUUUUGACCCCAGUUUUCAAAUGUUUUGGGGCUUUCGACAUGGUAUUGGAUUGCUUUCCCAGAAAAACAGGGCUGUUACUGAAGUGUUAUCCCAGAUCUCGCGAUACUCCUCUGUAGUCUGUGCAAUUUUGUAUUUGACUUGUCCAGUAUUACACAGUUAUCUUGUUUCUCCAAAGGAUUGUACAUCAGUGUUGGCUGGUACACGGUUUUCUUGCAGUCAUUUGUAUUAACUGAAGAAUAGCUGAAAGAAGGAGACGCCUAAAUCUAAAGUAACAGUAUUUGUACAUAGGAAACAAACUAACAAGUAUUCGUGACUCAAAUCGCCUCAUUCAUCUGCAAGCUGGGACAUUUUUACAGAAAGACGACAUCUUUAGCUCUACUGAGUCAUAUACUGCCUUAGUGACCUUAGUUGCUAUCUUGUUGAGGACGAUAAAUUGCCCCUGAGAAGGAAGGAACAUUCCCAAUGUGACUCCCUAUAACGGCAAGGUUUAGCUUGAUCAAGUGUGAAGGUAAAUCUGCUUUCGAUUUCCUUUUCUUUAUCCAGCAAACAAAGAUGAAGUCACGAGAAUGACUUCUUGACCCCAAUUUGCAGAUGUUUUGGGGCUUUCGUCAUGGUAUUGGAUUGCUUUCCCUGAAAAACAGAUUUCGCGAUACUCUUCUCUAUUCCGUAUACUUUUGUAUUUGACUUGUCCAUUAUUACAUAGACUUCUUGUUUUUCAAAAAGAAUGUACAUCAGUGGUAAGUAAAUAUUGAUUGCAAUGUGUUGUUUAUCAGUGACGUUCGAAACAGAACCACAGACUGUUAAUCAAUAUAUGUUGUUCGCUUUACUGCGCAUACGUCAGUUGGCCAGGACGUUUUCUUGCAGUCAUUUGUAUUAACUGAAGUAUAACUGAAAGAAGAAGACGCCUGAAUCAGAAGUAACAGUGUUUGUACAUAGCUUAAACAAACUAACUAGUAUUCCACGAAAAAUGAAUACGACUCAAAUCGCCUCAUUUAUCUGCAAGCUGGGACAUUUUUGCAGCUAAUAAUCUGUUACUCUGUUUUCGUGUUCGCAAGUUUCAAAAGACACUUGUGAAGACUUGUGAACGCCUUUUCCACUUAUUGACGAUUCUUGAGAAGUACCGCUAUUAGGAACGACUGCUUUAUUGCCAAUAGUCAACACUGAUCUACUUCAACCAAACCGCAGCAGACCUUGACGCGGUAUUUCAGUCGCCAUUUUAUCGGAUAUACAACUUAAGUUGACGCCAUGACAUCAGGAGAAACUUGUAGAGAAAUAGUUGGUCGGGUUUAUCUAAACUCAAUUACCUCUUUCGGUCGCAUUUGAAUAUUAACUGAAUCUUUUAGAAACAUGCUUGGACCAGCGUUCGGGACUGCCUUCAGUUUAGUUCACAGGAUAUUCAUUCUGAUAUUUAUCUCUUCUUAAAGAAUCAAACAAGCAAAUUAGUCAAAUUAAAUCGACCCACUUUUUUCUCUCUGUCGUGUUGUUUCUCACCUCGUUUAGUUUAACGUUCCAGUAAGAAACUGCCCUGAAGAGGAACCGAGAGUGUUUUAUCGUUUGUUGUUUAUAGAGCAACUUUGCAAAAAGCAUGUAAUGAUCUGAAAUUAUUCUUUCCUUCAGAAAGACGACAUCUUUAGCUCUACUGAGUCAUAUACUGCCUUAGUGACCUUAGUUGCUAUCUUGUUGAGGACGAUAAAUUGCCCCUGAGAAGGAAGGAACAUUCCCAAUGUGACUCCCUAUAACGGCAAGGUUUAGCUUGAUCAAGUGUGAAGGUAAAUCUGCUUUCGAUUUCCUUUUCUUUAUCCAGCAAACAAAGAUGAAGUCACGAGAAUGACUUCUUGACCCCAAUUUGCAGAUGUUUUGGGGCUUUCGUCAUGGUAUUGGAUUGCUUUCCCUGAAAAACAGAUUUCGCGAUACUCUUCUCUAUUCCGUAUACUUUUGUAUUUGACUUGUCCAUUAUUACAUAGACUUCUUGUUUUUCAAAAAGAAUGUACAUCAGUGGUAAGUAAAUAUU